GCAGGAGCGGCGUUCCCGGUGCGGCUCUGCACAAACUCCCCAAAGCAGGUGCUUUGCCGGAGGAAAUCAACGUGCACCUUUACGAUGAGGAGAGGGUGUGAUAUCCCUGUUACCAGGAUGCUGCCCCGUCGUGGAGAUCAGGCAACUGAGCGUGGGGAAACAGCUAAAAAUGGAAGCAAUCCUGCCAAAGCGAAGCAGUGCGUACAGCCCGGUUCAUGGCACCUUGGGCUCCCGGUGUAACCGACCACGGCUCAGCCAGGGAGAGCGCAGCGACUGUGCGUCGCUGUGACAGCUGCCGCCUCGCCUGGAGUACGAGUGUUUGGCCGGAGCACCGGUCUUUCCGUGCACCACCCACCACUUCAAAAACUUGCUUUCCCGAGGAAAAGAGACUGGAGACAAAGCAGUGGCUCUGACGUGGUUGCUCAGCACUGCGGUGCAAAGUGCACGGCAGAUAAAUCACCCCGGAGCGCUCGUCACAGCGCACCAGCAUGCAUCUCCUCCCUCGCCCUCUUCCCAGGCGCCCGGUCUCCUCCCGAAACGCCCAUUUGUUAAAUGAUUGGUGCAGGAAAUGCUGAUUCAUGCAGCAGGGACGAGAAAACUUUGCACCUGGCCCGCGAUGGGGAGGGAGCGUCCGAAGGUAGAGCUCGCCAGGGCCGGCUUGGCCCUCAGCCGCGUGCUUGGGGUGACGCCGACCCGCUUCUGGAAACGUAAAAAGCUGAAAUACAGAGGCAUGCCCCCACGGAUGUGCCUGGACCUGCACUUUGAGGGAAGAGCUCGCUUGGCUGAACGUGCUCACCUGCUCUUGCUCUGCGGUUUUCAGGAGGAGACCGAGCAGCCGCGGCGCCUUAGCUCUUGUGUCACACCAUGCGCAACACCUAUUCCGAGCGGACACAUCAUCCCAAAGUUCCCACAUUAACUUUUUUUUUUUUUCCCUAGGAUAGGCUAAGCCCAAGCUCUCUGGCUGGCGGCCAGCAAAGCGCUAAGCGACACGAUGUUUGCCUGCUCCUGCUUCGGCGCGGCGCCUUCGUUUUCCGCCAUUUCCGUUGGGAAGCCAACCUGUCUGCUCGCGAUACCCGGGAGCCCUGACCUCUCCCUCCGGAUGGCUGUGCAGAGUUUGUCCCUGCAGCCUCACGGACAGCCGAGUCAGGAUCCAGCACAACGGCGGGGAAAGAAGCUUUUGGUGCAGAAGAUGUGGAUGAGAGACUGGAGGUGUGAACUUCCCGAAGCACCUCCAUCGCGACUGGCCUUGCCGCGCUUCCCGGAGCUGUCGUGGUGAUGUUCUGCCCUGUGAACAGCUUCCAGCUUCCGCAGGGCUGCAGGGAGGAAGCGCAGCAGCGUGGGGCCGGGCCGGCGGCUGGACAGCGGUGGGCCAGGGCAGCGUCCAAACGGCUCCAGACACAGUCCAGACGCCUGUUGAGUUCCCACUGCAAGCAAUUCCCCCCGAAAGCCUUCGGCAGGCGGCCUGCAGGAAGCGUCGCUGCCUUUGCUUAACCACGGACGCUCCCGCCGUGGCCAGGAGGAGGCUGACCUUACUUGCAAAUGUGAUUCUCACAGCUGCUGUGCACGCAGAUUAUAGGGCCUGUGCACAAAACAGAGCUUGCCUCAAGCAAGGAAGUGUGCUGCAGCCUUCGCUACAGGUACCUGCUAGACACCAAUCCCAGUUAUCGCCUUGUCUCCCGACUGCUCUAGUUGGAAAUGAGUUGAGAAAAGGCAGAGAGAGGGGCUUCAGCCACAGUGCUGCCUGCCAAGAGGAUGUUAAACCAACCCUGCAUCCGCCUGGGGGGUAGGAGGACACCGGGUUCGGAGGGAGCGACGUGGGCACCCAGAGUACCCUGAGGAGGUACCGGGAGCUAAGCAGGCAGCAGGAGAUAGCGAGGUGUGUAGGCUGCCCGCAGAUAGCUCCCUCGCCAUCUGCGCUAGCUUCUCCUGCCCGGCCUUGGUGCAGGCACGCUCGCGAUGCCUCCUCAGUGCGUUCCCUGAUAACGCCUCGUCACUGAGUCCUCAAUGCCACAGCAGCCCACGGCCCCGCUCCCGUGCUUUCUGCUGGCCUCCGCUCUUCAGUCCGCAGCGCCUGGGGAUGGCCUUGGCUGUCUGCCUGCCUUCACCUGCAGGAGCUGAGACUGCACGAACAAGAACGCCACCCUGACACAAGGAAAGGUGGUGCUGCUCUGCGUCACCCCAGGCCAGCAAGUGCUUCUCCAGCCAAGGCAAGGGAUCUCUGCCCAGGACCUUUCUCAGGCACUGAAUUUGCUUACUGAGAGGCGAACGUGUCCGUGCAGCUCCAUCAGCUCUGUUUGCUUUUUCCCUGUUUCCCUGCACACCUUCAGUGCCGCAUUUCCACAUCUUGUGAGCUGGUCGGACGGCAGCGCAGCUCCGGAAUGGACUCUGCAGAGGAGACGAGCCUUACUCUUUCCCUUACUUCUCCCAGCUUAGGCACAGGUAACGAGGAGCAGUAUGUUUCUUUACGUAACAGCCCAAAGAGCAAAGGACCCUGUGAGAACAUGGCAAGCUAGAUUCAGCCUCAGCGUCCACGCCUGGGAGCUGGGCCCCUGGCACGUAUCUGCCUGGCAGAGAGAACCAGAUUCAGCCGCUGGAAGCCGCAGAAGUGUGCUCAUGUGGCGCUUAACCCCUGCUGAGCUCCUCAGCACGUCUAGCUUUACUCACUGUAGAUGCAGAAGAAACAUUCAGGAGAGGAAACGUGUCGGUUCCAUUGUCAGACUGCUGUGGGACUUUCCUCGCCGGCUGGAAAUACUGAAGCACAGAUGAAAGAGGACCUCCACGUGAGCGCAGUUUGGAAAAGCUGCUCCCCGAAUAAAGAACGGGGUAUAUUUUACAGUCUGGAACACAGUGAGAUGUGAGACACCUUGGGAGACCAGAGGGAGCGAGCGAUGUGCUGGAGGCUGUGGAGGAAGCCAGGAAGUCAGCGUGUAACACAAGAUUCAGCUGUGGGGAUUAACAGCAAACGUCAGUCUUUGAGACACGGAAGAAGCAUCAGCAGUAAAGGAAGAGCUGGGGAGGGUGGUAACAUGAAAGUCUUCAAGGAUAAGAUGUCAAAGAGAGAAGGACAACCAAUUGUGUUCAAAGCGCAGAGGAGCCAGUCCCUGACGUCUGCUCAGGAAGAGGCUGUGAGAUCAAGGGUACUUCGUUAUGGGCAGCUCAGUAUCCAGCAAGGUAAAGUCCCAGCAUGAAAAACAGGGAAGGCUGACCAUGGUGUGGAAACGGUGAACCCGGUGCUGUGGGCAGUACAGGAAUGCAUGACAAGCUCUUGGAUUAAGUCCCGAGGACGUUAUCCACGGCGGGACCUGACUCACUUCUCUCGGUAAGGUGGUCUCUGGAGUCCGUCAGAGCAGGAUCGGUUUUGCAGGCUGCCCGGCCCUGGGGACAGAGGCGCUCAGUAGGCUGCAGCAGUGCUUGGAGCCCUGCAGGACCAGAAAGCCCUUCAAACGGUAAUGCUGUGCUCUCCAGAAAGCUGUUUGGAUGAUUAAUGCUGCAUGUGCUUGCCAAAGAGCUGAUUUACAUAGUGUCUACAUCAUAGUUAUCUAGUACUAGCUCCUUCACUGGAACUGGCAGAGGUAGCGGACAUGGGUGGUUGAAUCACCAUCUCCUGCAACUAUGGCAAAGCCUCUGCAAACUCUUCUUUAUACUCACUUCCUUCAUGCUUUGGGAAAAACAGCUGUCCAGACCCAAAACUGCUGUGAUCGUGUUAACUGUACUGAGUUCAGAGGACCUGUUUUGAUGGAUACCAAUCCAAGAGUUCGUGGCCUGAAGUGUCCUGCUUUAUCCUCUUUCUUGCUUGCCUUUUUUGACACUGCUUAAGAGCACUUCACAGUAAUUCCCUAGACCCCUGAUUCAGCAAACUGCUGAACAGAACAUCUCUCCUUUAGUUUAUGAGCAGUCCUGCAGGACUGCUGCCAUGGUUAGAGGGAGGUACAUGCUAGAACACCUUGCUGAAUCAAAGCCUAUAUAGUCUUGCUCAUAUGCAAAGAAGAAAGUAGAGCCAAAGGAGUUGAGGGCAUUGGCCCAGUGCAUCGCAAUACGGGAAUUGGCCUGGCUACGAGGAGGGAUUUUGCAUCCCAAAAGCCUGCUUUGCCUUUGCCUUGCCCACUGGCUUCUCUCUGCUGCCGGCCCCUCGCGGGGUGCUGGGCAGCGGGGCACUGGUGACCAGCUCCUGCCGCUUAGCUGUGCCUGGGACACGUCCCCCUCUGCACUGAGGGCUCGCAAGGCUCUCUGGAGACAGAGGGGUGUAUCCCCCAUCUCUGCCACCGCCCUGCAGGGCCUCCCCGGCCCGGCCUGGCCCCAGGAUCCCCUCCAGCGGCCACAGUGCCCGCAGGUAGCUGCUGCCCUGGUCCCUGCGGGGCUCCCACCGGUGCCCCCAGGCCCAGCCCCUGCGACACCUGCCAGCUGCUGCUGGUGACAAAAUCACUAGUGGGCCCCUGCGCUAUUCCUGCUUUCAAGGGAGCUGUCACCUUUUAUUUCAAAAGUAUCGUGAACAGAUAGCAUGGGAGGGAGCAGGCAGCGUAUCUGAUUAAAAACACAUCCUUAGAGUUGUGCUCUCAGCUGCCCCAGCAUGGGCAUGGGGGGAUAAAAGCCAGGGAUCUAAGAGUGACAUCAAAAGUCAGCCACAAAAAUCAGAGCAAAUUCCAAAAUACUUUUUUCCUUUGAGAAGUACGGCGCUCGGCUGUCACUCAGGCACACCUUUUCUCUUCCAUGGAUCCCCCAGCAACAGGCAGCGGGUGACUUCAGGCCCCAUCUUCAGAGCUGGCUGCUCCCGGAGAGCUGAGCCUGACCCUUUACCUUUGGCUGGUUUCACGUUUUGGUGACAUGAAGUUUCAGAUGACCUUUGAUUCGUAGAGCAAGUCCACUUUCCUCUUGUUGCUGUGGUCAGAACAAAUCGGUACAUAAUGACCUGGGAAAUAAAAGUGUUUCUGCAGCUCUCUGCCAUUUAUACAGCACUUGUGCGCUGCGUGAUGGUCACUAGCUAUUUCGGACUUUAGUGCAGACAGACCAUAAACCUGAUUUUAUUGCCUUGUGAGGAGCACUGCAAUGCAGGAGGAGGAACACAGAGCAUGUCCAAACAUAACUGAUUUCCCCCAGAACAACUUCUGUCUCACUCAGGCAGCUGCCACAUAAAUGCUUCUUAUUUAUUUGUAAGCUAUGUGGCUAAAUGCACCUUCCACCGCCGGCUGAGCCGUGCCCCCGUCGGCUCUGCGAGGCUCCCCAGGGCGGUGCGUGCAGGAACCUGGAACAGAAUGAAAGUUAGGAUUGGAAAAGGGAAAAAUGGAGGAGUGAUUUUUUUUGUUUCCCCAGAAAGAAUGAACCCCCUUGAAAUGAAAAAGGCCAAAGGGCCUGCCACAAAACGUAGCAACCCGACCAACCAAGGGCCCGGAAAGAUUUUUGUAUUUGCAGGAAGUAGUCGAUGGAAAGGGCUCCGUUGUGUCAGGACGUGUUCAGUUAGGAACAGUUAUGGAAACUGCAUCUUCCAUUGUCUCCGUAAGUCCAUUUCUUUAAAGGUCAGCUUGGGGCAUUAUUUACCUCUUGUCAUACAGGAAGGUCACUUUUUCACUGCUUUUGUUCCUUGGUGGGUAUUUUUUUUAAAUAGCCAUUGCAGUUCCUCCCCCAUACUUUUUUAGCUUACCAGAAAUAUGUUAUUAGACAAUGUGUUUUGAAACAGUGACUGCUGAAGUAUGAAGGAUACAAUGGCCUGUCCUGUGCAUAGUCCUUUGUUUUGAAAACAGGGCUCUGUACAAUGACUGUCAAAGUGGCAGUGAGGUCUGUUCUAGGGGUUUCUCCAUGUUUCCUCACCCAUGUUGUCCAGGUGGUCCUCAUCCAGCCUUCUGGCAAGCUCAGCCAGGAACAGGGAAGUCCCUUCCCUCUAGGCAGUCAGGUGGGCGCUAAGGGAGCACUAUCAGGAUUACUAACUCUUGCAAAAAUGCUCCAGUUCAGGUUGGACGCAGACCCUUCCUCCAGAGCCGGACCCCACGCUGUUCGUCAGCUGGAAGACAGCAACGGGGGCGGCCCACCCCGGAGCCAGAGCUGCCCUCGCCUCUGACCUGCAGCUUCAAGUGAGCGGGGCCCUGCAGCAAGCCAGGCAGCCCACCAGAUGUGCGUUACGCAUCCCGGCGGUCGUUGGCCAUGGACUAGACAACCGUGGUGGGGAAGGAGCUCUGCCAGGAUUUUCAGGCAGCCGGUUACCCUGGGCACUGCUGUUGAGUGUCAGAUGUGCCUAGUGAAGGAGUCAACAACAGGAAGAAUAUAUGUUCCCAAAGAAAUCAAAUGUCGCUGCUACGAGGACAUGGUGCUAGAUUCCUCUCUUUCUGAAGUAGUCUUUCAAAUGAAACCUGUUCUCCAGCCAUUAAGAAAAAUAGUGAUGCUUAUAAAGGGUUGAGGGACAAGGUGGCCGGCGAGGAGUGCAGCCGAGGUGCUUGGAGACCACGGGCGAGGAGGAGACCCGGAGCACGUGGCCGCGUCUGAGAGGCACCUGCACGCGGAGGGUACAGCCGUCCUUUCCCCGCACCACUUUGCAGCCCUGCGGCUCGGCCGUGCGUUGCCCACCGCCAGCCUCGGGACGGGACGGGAGCGCUGGAGUUACUGUCGCGGGCUGCGGUGUGAGGCCAGGCCACGGGUCCGGCCUUCAGUCUGCCUGAUCUUUACCAGAAAUGACAGAAAGCGGCAGGAAGAGCUGCAGGACGGAUGCACGUGAGAACUGGGUUUUGCGUUGCGAGUCGUCUUUAACCCAUUAAGCAGAUGAUGUCUUGGGGGUCGGAGUCUGCAGCAAGCAAUGCAGCCGGGAAUGUGCUAGCUGAGAUGUCGCUAGAGAUGCAGCAAGCCCGACGGGGGACCCGGCCUGCUCCCGGGGCAGCUGGCAGAGAGCAGAAGGUGCCUGGGCAAGCGCGAGAGAGAGCCUGCCUGUUCUGCCACGGAUGCAGCCGGCCCUCGCCUGCGCACAGUCUUGUUUCCCGUAGACCGGAGCUUCCUUGCUCGGCAAGCUGCCAAAAGCCGUAUUGCCUGCGUUUCGUAGGUGUUUGCGCUCUGAGUCCCUCGCACAGCCAGAACAAGAGCCAGGUACGGUCAGACCGUGGACCGCGGGCUUUCCCGGUGCCCUGCUCCCCCGGGGGGGAUGCACGGCGGUAAAUUAUGUCCCGCUGAGGAACGGGGAAGGGCUGCAGGGAGGAGAGCUGCCAGGUGAACACGCAGGCUGUGCCCUCUGCAGCGCUGCUCACUGUGCCUGUUAGGCGAGGCGAACCUUACCAACUUGAGCAUGCUGAUUUAUGAGUUUGCUUUUCAAAUAACACUUAAACCUAGGCAACUUUUCCAUCCGGACAGCGCUGUUCUUUUGUGUGACUGAGAACAGGACGGCUGUGUGCAGGUGUGGCACUAGGCCUCUCCCUCUGUGUAAAAGCUCCUUUUUUUUCUUUUGGCAUUUUAAGAACCUUUCUUAAUGCUUUGAGUUGAAGUAUUAUCUUAUGGCCCAAAGUGCCUGGAAACUGUGAAUUCUGAAAUCUUACGUCCCACAGACAAUACUGUCAUUUGGACUUUUGACCUGUGUGGCUAAUUGUAUGGCAUCCGUACUGCAAAUGCCAAACAGGCAGGCACACUGCGCGCGGCCACAGCACGCAGCGGUCCGGAGCGGCCGCAGGUUAUCCUGCGUCCUCGACCUGGGGUUUCUUAUACGCAGAGCUCAAUAAGUAUAGCUUUCAGUGACCAUAUACACAUGAUAAUCAGUUUACUUCUGAGCUGAUAUGAAAAUACUUCGAAUCUGUUUUAUGUGUGUUUAAGUCAAGGUGUGAUCCUGAACGAAUCAGGCCAUAUCUGCACUUGGAAAUUUUUGGAAUACUGAAUAUAUGUUAGCUAGCUUUGCCUAUAGUGGAAUUUUAUUAGAUAACUAGAUGAAACUAGACUGCAGAGCUCUUUAUAUAUGAAACUCAGUAUAGCAUAGUGGAAUUGGAAGAUGCACGAUCCUUGCGAAACCAGCACAGCAGAGAUGCUGUGACCUCCCUUUGAGUGAAAAAUCCCAAGUACCAGCAGCAGGCAGGGGACCGAGAAACCUGUUUGUGUAAACCGGUGGUUCCUUCUAACCAAGGAAGCUGCCCAUGCCAUUUGGCAAGCAGCACCUAAAGGCUCCCAGUGAGAAAUGUUUGUAUUUUGCUCCUAAAAUAUAUGUGGAGUGCGAUGCAGCCUCGAUGUGUAAUGUGACAGGGGGCUGAAAUGGGUCUAAGGCUGUCCCUGAAAACUUCUGCUCUGCAUAUAGAGAUAUUUUUAAUUACGUGUAACUUGGCGACAUUUGAUCAAGCGAAAGGCUUGCUUGAAGAAAAUAUUUCAAGUUCUAAGGAUGUAAUUUACUGUGAUUACUUAACAAUAUCCUGAGAACAGGGGGUCCUCAAAGACCCCCCCCCCCAGGCAUCAUUGCUCCGGAAAAAAAGUGGCUGUGAUAACGCAGGGAAAACUGAUGAGGAACAAUAAACGCAACCAAAGUCUUUUUCAGCUUAUCUAGAAGAAACUAAACUGUGAACUUGUUUUGUAAAAAAUGGAUGGUUUGUGGAGUCCCUCAUUGAAAAGCAGUGCCCAUUAGAGACCUGAACAAAUGUAAUUAAACCAAUUUUUAAAGUAA
Dromaius novaehollandiae (emu) is the source of this 8608-nucleotide long non-coding RNA. RefSeq lists it as uncharacterized. The transcript is spliced from 18 exons. NCBI's taxonomy places the organism in Eukaryota, Metazoa, Chordata, Aves, Casuariiformes, Dromaiidae. The record is from RefSeq and is a predicted model, not a curated record.